AUACGAAGGGGGCUAGCGUUGUUCGGAAUCACUGGGCGUAAAGCGAACGUAGGUGGAUCAAUCAGUUGAGGGUGAAAUCCCGGGGCUCAACCUCGGAACUGCCUUCAAUACUGUUGGUCUUGAGUCCGAGAGAGGUGAGUGGAAUUCCUAGUGUAGAGGUGAAAUUCGUAGAUAUUAGGAAGAACACCAGUGGCGAAGGCGGCUCACUGGCUCGGUACUGACGCUGAGGUGCGAAAGCGUGGGGAGCAAACAGGAUUAGAUACCCUAGUAGUCC
RNAcentral lists this ribosomal RNA (274 nucleotides) under uncultured bacterium. RNAcentral describes it as "partial 16S ribosomal RNA". It matches the Rfam family "Bacterial small subunit ribosomal RNA", at positions 523 to 796 of the family's 1533-position model. The record is from RNAcentral.